RNAcentral lists this ribosomal RNA (433 nucleotides) under uncultured bacterium. RNAcentral describes it as "partial 16S ribosomal RNA". It matches the Rfam family "Bacterial small subunit ribosomal RNA", at positions 29 to 507 of the family's 1533-position model. The record is from RNAcentral.
AACGAACGCUGGCGGCAUGCCUAACACAUGCAAGUCGAACGAGACCUUCGGGUCUAGUGGCGCACGGGUGCGUAACGCGUGGGAACCUGCCUUUAGGUUCGGAAUAACUCAGAGAAAUUUGUGCUAAUACCGGAUUAUGUCUUCGGACCAAAGAUUUAUCGCCUUUAGAUGGGCCCGCGUUGGAUUAGCUAGUUGGUUGGGUAAAGGCCUACCAAGGCGACGAUCCAUAGCUGGUCUGAGAGGAUGAUCAGCCACACUGGGACUGAGACACGGCCCAGACUCCUACGGGAGGCAGCAGUGGGGAAUAUUGGACAAUGGGCGAAAGCCUGAUCCAGCAAUGCCGCGUGAGUGAUGAAGGCCUUAGGGUUGUAAAGCUCUUUUACCCGAGAUGAUAAUGACAGUAUCGGGAGAAUAAGCUCCGGCUAACUCCGUG